RNAcentral lists this ribosomal RNA (1453 nucleotides) under metagenome. Its description in RNAcentral is "bacterial SSU rRNA". It matches the Rfam family "Bacterial small subunit ribosomal RNA". The record is from RNAcentral.
AAACAGCUUGCUGUUUCGCUGACGAGUGGCGGACGGGUGAGUAAUGUCUGGGAAACUGCCUGAUGGAGGGGGAUAACUACUGGAAACGGUAGCUAAUACCGCAUAACGUCGCAAGACCAAAGAGGGGGACCUUCGGGCCUCUUGCCAUCAGAUGUGCCCAGAUGGGAUUAGCUAGUAGGUGGGGUAACGGCUCACCUAGGCGACGAUCCCUAGCUGGUCUGAGAGGAUGACCAGCCACACUGGAACUGAGACACGGUCCAGACUCCUACGGGAGGCAGCAGUGGGGAAUAUUGCACAAUGGGCGCAAGCCUGAUGCAGCCAUGCCGCGUGUAUGAAGAAGGCCUUCGGGUUGUAAAGUACUUUCAGCGGGGAGGAAGGGAGUAAAGUUAAUACCUUUGCUCAUUGACGUUACCCGCAGAAGAAGCACCGGCUAACUCCGUGCCAGCAGCCGCGGUAAUACGGAGGGUGCAAGCGUUAAUCGGAAUUACUGGGCGUAAAGCGCACGCAGGCGGUUUGUUAAGUCAGAUGUGAAAUCCCCGGGCUCAACCUGGGAACUGCAUCUGAUACUGGCAAGCUUGAGUCUCGUAGAGGGGGGUAGAAUUCCAGGUGUAGCGGUGAAAUGCGUAGAGAUCUGGAGGAAUACCGGUGGCGAAGGCGGCCCCCUGGACGAAGACUGACGCUCAGGUGCGAAAGCGUGGGGAGCAAACAGGAUUAGAUACCCCGGUAGUCCACGCCGUAAACGAUGUCGACUUGGAGGUUGUGCCCUUGAGGCGUGGCUUCCGGAGCUAACGCGUUAAGUCGACCGCCUGGGGAGUACGGCCGCAAGGUUAAAACUCAAAUGAAUUGACGGGGGCCCGCACAAGCGGUGGAGCAUGUGGUUUAAUUCGAUGCAACGCGAAGAACCUUACCUGGUCUUGACAUCCACGGAAGUUUUCAGAGAUGAGAAUGUGCCUUCGGGAACCGUGAGACAGGUGCUGCAUGGCUGUCGUCAGCUCGUGUUGUGAAAUGUUGGGUUAAGUCCCGCAACGAGCGCAACCCUUAUCCUUUGUUGCCAGCGGUCCGGCCGGGAACUCAAAGGAGACUGCCAGUGAUAAACUGGAGGAAGGUGGGGAUGACGUCAAGUCAUCAUGGCCCUUACGACCAGGGCUACACACGUGCUACAAUGGCGCAUACAAAGAGAAGCGACCUCGCGAGAGCAAGCGGACCUCAUAAAGUGCGUCGUAGUCCGGAUUGGAGUCUGCAACUCGACUCCAUGAAGUCGGAAUCGCUAGUAAUCGUGGAUCAGAAUGCCACGGUGAAUACGUUCCCGGGCCUUGUACACACCGCCCGUCACACCAUGGGAGUGGGUUGCAAAAGAAGUAGGUAGCUUAACCUUCGGGAGGGCGCUUACCACUUUGUGAUUCAUGACUGGGGUGAAGUCGAAACAAGGUAACCGUAGGGGAACCUGCGGUUG